RNAcentral lists this ribosomal RNA (1248 nucleotides) under metagenome. RNAcentral describes it as "bacterial LSU rRNA". It matches the Rfam family "Bacterial large subunit ribosomal RNA", at positions 1634 to 2874 of the family's 2925-position model. The record is from RNAcentral.
CGAUACGACCGUACCGCAAACCGACACUGGUGCGCGAGAUGAGUAUUCUAAGGCGCUUGAGAGAACUCAGGAGAAGGAACUCGGCAAAUUGACACCGUAACUUCGGAAGAAGGUGUGCCCUAUUAGUGUGUAGUGAACAACGAAGCAUGAAUGGGUUGCAAAAAAUCGGUGGCUGCGACUGUUUAUUAAAAACACAGCACUCUGCAAACACGAAAGUGGACGUAUAGGGUGUGACGCCUGCCCGGUGCUGGAAGAUUAAAUGAUGGGGUGCAAGCUCUUGAUUGAAGUCCCAGUAAACGGCGGCCGUAACGAUAACGGUCCUAAGGUAGCGAAAUUCCUUGUCGGGUAAGUUCCGACCUGCACGAAUGGCGUAACGAUGGCCACACUGUCUCCUCCUGAGACUCAGCGAAGUUGAAAUGUUUGUGAUGAUGCAAUCUCCCCGCGGAAAGACGGAAAGACCCCAUGAACCUUUACUGUAGCUUUGUAUUGGACUUUGAACAGAUCUGUGUAGGAUAGGUGGGAGGCUUUGAAGCAGGGUCGCUAGAUCUUGUGGAGCCAACGUUGAAAUACCACCCUGGUGUGUUUGAGGUUCUAACCUAGGUCCAUUAUCUGGAUCGGGGACAGUGCAUGGUAGGCAGUUUGACUGGGGCGGUCUCCUCCCAAAGCGUAACGGAGGAGUUCGAAGGUACGCUAGUUACGGUCGGACAUCGUGACGAUAGUGCAAUGGCAUAAGCGUGCUUAACUGCGAGACUGACAAGUCGAGCAGAUGCGAAAGCAGGACAUAGUGAUCCGGUGGUUCUGUAUGGAAGGGCCAUCGCUCAACGGAUAAAAGGUACUCUGGGGAUAACAGGCUGAUACCGCCCAAGAGUUCAUAUCGACGGCGGUGUUUGGCACCUCGAUGUCGGCUCAUCUCAUCCUGGGGCUGUAGCCGGUCCCAAGGGUAUGGCUGUUCGCCAUUUAAAGAGGUACGUGAGCUGGGUUUAAAACGUCGUGAGACAGUUUGGUCCCUAUCUUCCGUGGGCGCUGCAGAUUUGAGGAAGCCUGCUCCUAGUACGAGAGGACCGGAGUGGACACACCUCUGGUGUAUCGGUUGUCACGCCAGUGGCAUUGCCGAGUAGCUAAGUGUGGAAGAGAUAACCGCUGAAAGCAUCUAAGCGGGAAACUCGUUUCAAGAUGAGAUCUGCCGGGGCCUUGAGCCCCCUAAAGAGUCGUUCAAGACCAGGACGUUGAUAGGUCAGGUGUGGAAGC